RNAcentral lists this ribosomal RNA (465 nucleotides) under uncultured bacterium. RNAcentral describes it as "partial 16S ribosomal RNA". It matches the Rfam family "Bacterial small subunit ribosomal RNA", at positions 28 to 507 of the family's 1533-position model. The record is from RNAcentral.
GACGAACGCUGGCGGCGUGCUUAACACAUGCAAGUCGUACGGUAAGGCCCUUUCGGGGGUACACGAGUGGCGAACGGGUGAGUAACACGUGAGUAACCUGCCCACAACUUUGGGAUAACGCUAGGAAACUGGUGCUAAUACUGGAUAUGUGCUCCUGCUGCAUGGUGGGGGUUGGAAAGCUCCGGCGGUUGUGGAUGGACUCGCGGCCUAUCAGCUUGUUGGUGGGGUAGUGGCCUACCAAGGCGGCGACGGGUAGCCGGCCUGAGAGGGUGACCGGCCAUAUUGGGAUUGAGAUACGGCACAGACUCCUACGUGAGGCAGCAGUGGAGAAUAUUGCACAGUGGGCUCAAGCCUGAUGCAGCAACGCCGCGGGCGGGAUGACGGCCUUCGGGUUGUAAACCGCUUUCAGCAGGGACGGAGCUUUUUGUGACGGUACCUUCAGAAGAAGCACCGGCUAACUACGUG